GAGUUUGAUCAUGGCUCAGAUUGAACGCUGGCGGCAUGCCUAACACAUGCAAGUCGAACGGCAGCACUGGGAGCUUGCUCCCUGGUGGCGAGUGGCGGACGGGUGAGUAACGCGUAGGAAUCUGCCUCAUAGCGGGGGACAACUCGGGGAAACUCGAGCUAAUACCGCAUACUACUCGAGAGAGGAAAGCAGGGGACCUUCGGGCCUUGCACUAUGAGAUGAGCCUGCGUUGGAUUAGCUAGUUGGUAGGGUAAAGGCCUACCAAGGCGACGAUCCAUAACUGGUUUGAGAGGAUGACCAGUCACACUGGGACUGAGACACGGCCCAGACUCCUACGGGGAGGACAGCAGUGGGGAAUAUUGGACAAUGGGGGAAACCCUGAUCCAGCAAUGCCGCGUGUGUGAAG
This 406-nucleotide ribosomal RNA is filed under the name uncultured microorganism. RNAcentral's name for it is "bacterial SSU rRNA". It matches the Rfam family "Bacterial small subunit ribosomal RNA", at positions 9 to 410 of the family's 1533-position model. The record is from RNAcentral.